RNAcentral lists this ribosomal RNA (253 nucleotides) under uncultured bacterium. Its description in RNAcentral is "partial 16S ribosomal RNA". It matches the Rfam family "Bacterial small subunit ribosomal RNA", at positions 524 to 776 of the family's 1533-position model. The record is from RNAcentral.
UACAGAGGGUGCGAGCGUUAAUCGGAAUUACUGGGCGUAAAGCGUGCGUAGACGGCUAUCUAAGUCGGGUGUGAAAGCCCCGGGCUCAACCUGGGAAUUGCAUUCGAGACUGAAUAGCUAGGGUGCGGUAGAGGGAAGCGGAAUUUCCGGUGUAGCGGUGAAAUGCGUAGAUAUCGGAAGGAACGUCGGCGGCGAAAGCGGUGCACUGGCUGAUUUCUGACGCUGAGGUGCGAAAGCCAGGGGAGCAAACGGG